RNAcentral lists this ribosomal RNA (465 nucleotides) under uncultured Veillonella sp. RNAcentral's name for it is "bacterial SSU rRNA". It matches the Rfam family "Bacterial small subunit ribosomal RNA", at positions 338 to 795 of the family's 1533-position model. The record is from RNAcentral. Lineage: Bacteria; Bacillati; Bacillota; Negativicutes; Veillonellales; Veillonellaceae.
CCUACGGGGGGCAGCAGUGGGGAAUCUUCCGCAAUGGACGAAAGUCUGACGGAGCAACGCCGCGUGAGCGAUGACGGCCUUCGGGUUGUAAAGCUCUGUUAAUCGGGACGAAAGGCCUUCUUGCGAAUAGUGAGAAGGAUUGACGGUACCGGAAUAGAAAGCCACGGCUAACUACGUGCCAGCAGCCGCGGUAAUACGUAGGUGGCAAGCGUUGUCCGGAAUUAUUGGGCGUAAAGCGCGCGCAGGCGGAUAGGUCAGUCUGUCUUAAAAGUUCGGGGCUUAACCCCGUGAUGGGAUGGAAACUGCCAAUCUAGAGUAUCGGAGAGGAAAGUGGAAUUCCUAGUGUAGCGGUGAAAUGCGUAGAUAUUAGGAAGAACACCAGUGGCGAAGGCGACUUUCUGGACGAAAACUGACGCUGAGGCGCGAAAGCCAGGGGAGCGAACGGGAUUAGAUACCCGGGUAGUC